RNAcentral lists this transfer RNA (89 nucleotides) under Haplopteris ensiformis. RNAcentral's name for it is "tRNA-Ser". It matches the Rfam family "tRNA". Rfam says of the family: Transfer RNA (tRNA) molecules are approximately 80 nucleotides in length. Their secondary structure includes four short double-helical elements and three loops (D, anti-codon, and T loops). RNAcentral also lists the same sequence under 1 other name. Lineage: Eukaryota; Viridiplantae; Streptophyta; Polypodiopsida; Polypodiales; Pteridaceae. The record is from RNAcentral.
GGAGAGAUGGCCGAGAGGUUGAAGGCUCCAGUCUUGAAAACUGGCGUGGUACUAAGAAACCACCGAGGGUUCGAAUCCCUCUCUCUCCU